UUUUAAGAAACUAAUUAAUAGUUAUUCACUGUUAAUGAACAUAAGAGUUAUACUCCUUAAAAU
This 63-nucleotide transfer RNA is filed under the name Sminthurus viridis. RNAcentral describes it as "tRNA-Asn". Lineage: Eukaryota; Metazoa; Arthropoda; Collembola; Symphypleona; Sminthuridae. The record is from RNAcentral.